GAGUGAUCGAAAGAUGAAAAGCACUUUGAAAAGAGAGUUAAACAGCACGUGAAAUUGUUGAAAGGGAAGCGCUUGCGACCAGACUCGCCCGCGGGGGUUCAGCCGGUACUCGUACCGGUGUACUCCCCCGGGGGCGGGCCAGCGUCGGUUUGGGCGGCCGGUCAAAGGCCCCCGGAAUGUGUCGCCUCUCGGGGCGUCUUAUAGCCGGGGGUGCAAUGCGGCCAGCCUGGACCGAGGAACGCGCUUCGGCACGGACGCUGGCGUAAUGGUCGUAAGCGGCCC
RNAcentral lists this ribosomal RNA (282 nucleotides) under Paecilomyces fulvus. Its description in RNAcentral is "Byssochlamys fulva partial 28S ribosomal RNA". It matches the Rfam family "Eukaryotic large subunit ribosomal RNA", at positions 351 to 650 of the family's 3401-position model. The record is from RNAcentral. Lineage: Eukaryota; Fungi; Ascomycota; Eurotiomycetes; Eurotiales; Thermoascaceae.